UGUACCUAUGAUGUCAUUGGUCAAGUACAAGUCUUGGAUGAUGAAUAUUAUAGGUCUGAAACUGAGGUCCAA
This 72-nucleotide small nucleolar RNA is filed under the name Myotis davidii. Its description in RNAcentral is "Small nucleolar RNA SNORD113/SNORD114 family". It matches the Rfam family "Small nucleolar RNA SNORD113/SNORD114 family". Rfam says of the family: The imprinted human domain at 14q32 contains two clusters of tandemly repeated small nucleolar RNAs named 14q(I) and 14q(II) snoRNAs. Lineage: Eukaryota; Metazoa; Chordata; Mammalia; Chiroptera; Vespertilionidae. The record is from Rfam by way of RNAcentral.